AGUCGGGACUUUUGACCAUUUGAUUUUAUUUUGAGACACAAAUUAUAUAUGAAAUUGAUGGCAUUGAACACUUAGGGAAAAUUGGGACCACAAUUCAUAAAAUUGGGAUUAAAAAUCUUGUGCAAAAAGGGCCAUGUGGCCGUGUGAAUUUAAAGGGGUCCCCACAUUGUGUGGCCAAAUUUAAUUGGUCCAACACAUGUGUGGACCAUAGGGACAUGGAGAUAUUUUAGUGGGAACUUAAAAAUAUGACCUCUAAGUCAUUUCUCUUCAUUUCUACACUUAGAAUAAAAAUUAAGAAGGAGGAGAACAACAACUCCAACCUCACGGCUAAGAGGAGAGAAAAACAAGAUCAUCUUUUUAGCUCCUCUAAAAUUAUUCCAUUGAUGUAAACCCACUAUAUUGAGGUCCCUAAGUAGCGUGGAAGCAUCGUUGGAGCGAUCAACCCAUUAUUUUCAUCUUUUGGAAACCCUAGGCUAUUGGAAAGUUGAAGAAGGAAGAUCGUGGGCAGCCCGAAUCAUAGUUUGGACUUAGCUUGAGUUGGAUCAUAUUGGAGAGCGUUUGAGGUACAGACGCACAGCCUGGUGAUCCACCUGUUUAGGACACCCUUUCUGCUAUUCGGAGUGCUCCUCUCUUUCCGGAGCUUAUACUUUUGGUAUAUAUAUUUAUUAGUGCAUUUGUAUAUAUUCGUUCAUGGGUACGGCGGGGCCCUGUCCCGUCAUAUGAUUCUGUCGGUCUGUUUAGAGGUCUGUGGACAUGUUUGUGGG
Long non-coding RNA from Lycium barbarum (goji berry), 764 nucleotides. RefSeq lists it as uncharacterized. Lineage: Eukaryota; Viridiplantae; Streptophyta; Magnoliopsida; Solanales; Solanaceae. The transcript is spliced from 3 exons. The record is from RefSeq and is a predicted model, not a curated record.